UACGGAGGAUCCAAGCGUUAUCCGGAUUUAUUGGGUUUAAAGGGUGCGUAGGCGGAUUGAUAAGUUAGAGGUGAAAUGUCCGAGCUCAACUCGGGAACUGCCUCUAAUACUGUUGAUCUAGAGAGUAGAUGCGGUAGGCGGAAUGUAUAGUGUAGCGGUGAAAUGCUUAGAGAUCAUACAGAACACCGAUUGCGAAGGCAGCAUACCGGCGCCCUACUGACGCUGAGGCACGAAAGCGUGGGUAUCGAACAGG
This 253-nucleotide ribosomal RNA is filed under the name uncultured bacterium. RNAcentral describes it as "partial 16S ribosomal RNA". It matches the Rfam family "Bacterial small subunit ribosomal RNA", at positions 524 to 776 of the family's 1533-position model. The record is from RNAcentral.